Molecule: ribosomal RNA, 195 nt
Filed under: Triticum aestivum (bread wheat)
Lineage: Eukaryota; Viridiplantae; Streptophyta; Magnoliopsida; Poales; Poaceae
Description: partial small subunit ribosomal RNA
Source: RNAcentral
AUGCCGGAGGGUACCAACGAUACAGUCAUAGCGCUCAUUCCUAAAGGAAACAGCCCGAAGCAAUUGAAGGACUUUCGCCCUAUCAGUCUAUGCAAUGUGAUAUACAAGGUAAUUUCUAAGUGUAUGGUGAAUCGUCUAAGACCCUUCCUGGAUGAGCUCAUUUCGGAAACCCAAAGUGCCUUCAUCCCAGGGCGU